AGUGCUGGGAGAUGUUAUCACGUGCUAUCUCAUUCAGUGAUAUUGUCAUCCAGCACAGC
RNAcentral lists this microRNA precursor (59 nucleotides) under Ornithorhynchus anatinus (platypus). RNAcentral's name for it is "Oan-Mir-1419-P5_pre stem-loop". Lineage: Eukaryota; Metazoa; Chordata; Mammalia; Monotremata; Ornithorhynchidae. The record is from RNAcentral.